CGGAACUUAAAAGGUGGAAACUUCAAAUUUAGAAAAUUUGAAGUUUGAGAAAAAAGAGAUCAGUGGAGCUGGAAGAUUGAGUUAAAGAACAGAACACCAAUUGCAGGUGAAAUUGGAAUUUUAGAGAAAAGAAGCGCAAUUCAAGAGUGAAAACAAAACUCUUAAGAGUGUGGGAUUAAGGUUUAGAGAUUUAUGUAGCUCUGACCUUCACCAACUUCACCAAUUGCAGAGAAAUCUACAGGCUCCAACUCACUUUGGGUUUUCGAUUCUUCGCUGCUUCGAUUC
This 285-nucleotide unclassified non-coding RNA is filed under the name Hevea brasiliensis (rubber tree). The record is from RNAcentral. Lineage: Eukaryota; Viridiplantae; Streptophyta; Magnoliopsida; Malpighiales; Euphorbiaceae.